Molecule: ribosomal RNA, 450 nt
Filed under: uncultured bacterium
Lineage: Bacteria
Description: partial 16S ribosomal RNA
Rfam family: Bacterial small subunit ribosomal RNA
Source: RNAcentral
CCUACGGGGGGCAGCAGUGGGGAAUAUUGGACAAUGGGCGAAAGCCUGAUCCAGCCACGCCGCGUGUGUGAUGAAGGCCUUCGGGUCGUAAAGCACUGUGGGGAGGGAAGAACGAGCAGUGGGCUAAUAUCCCAUUGCAGUGACGGUACCUCCUUAGCAAGCACCGGCUAACUCCGUGCCAGCAGCCGCGGUAAUACGGAGGGUGCAAACGUUGCUCGGAAUUAUUUGGCGUAACUGGCGUGUCGAGGGUGACAGCCCUGGGCUUAGCCUAGGAAGUGCGCUCGAAACUGGCAGGCUUGCGUACGGGAGAGGGUCGCGGAAUUCCCGGUGUAGAGGUGAAAUUCGUAGAUAUCGGGAGGAACACCAGUGGCGAAGGCGGCGACCUGGACCGAUACUGACGCUGAGACGCGAAAGCGUGGGUAGCAAACAGGAUUAGAUACCCCGGUAGUC